This 2631-nucleotide long non-coding RNA is filed under the name Homo sapiens (human). Its description in RNAcentral is "HSALNT0085039". The record is from RNAcentral. Lineage: Eukaryota; Metazoa; Chordata; Mammalia; Primates; Hominidae.
CGCCACCACGCCCGGCUAAUUUUUUCUAUUUUUUAGUAGAGAUGGGGCUUCAUCGUGUUAGCAAGGAUGGUCUUGAUCUCCUGACCUCGUGAUCCGCCCGCCUCGGCCUCCCAAAGUGCUGGGAUUAGAGGCGUGGGCCACCGCGCCCGGCCCAUCCUGCUUUUCUUCAUUCUCCAUGGGUCAGGUUGUUUUCCUACAUAGUCUCAAUGCAAAACAAGAAUGAUAAUAGGCAUGUCUCAAGGUUGCUGUGUGGACCAGCUAAAGCCCUAUGUAAGAAAGCACUUCACAUACAGAAGAGGGGCCUACAAAUUUGAGAACUAGUCCAGCAUAUUCUGGUUGGGUUCACCUUCUCUCUGAUCAUCCACCAUUGGCCACCUUUGGGUGACAUCUCACGAGCUCUGAAGAAAUACUAACGAAAAAUGAAAAUUACCAUUCAAGAGAAUUACCAUUUCAAGAGUUGCUUUUGUUACAUGCCCUUACAUAUGCCAUGUGGAUGGAGUGCGAGGAGAAGCAGAGAGCAGUCGAAUUGCUCAGCGUUCCUCUAAAAAGGACACCAUCAAAAGAGGUGAAGGACCAGGACUUGAAUAUGUUCAUUGAAGACUCUUGUCAAUCAAAGAGAUCGAGAUUGCUGAGAGGCUUAUUCUCAGGGACGUGGGUCACCCCCAAAUCCACAUCCUUUUGGUGAUUGCAGGCUGCAUUGCCCAAUCUUGAUGUGCCUCCAGCUCAAAAGGCUCAUGGUUUCCUCAACCCUGCUGUUUAUUUCUCUCCCUUGUUACAUACUUUGUGUCUCUAUUCUGUCAUACUUCUUUUCCUCCUCAGCACCGAUUUUUAAUAGACUGUUACUCCUUUCUAGGAUACAUUUGAGUGACCAAAUUCAGGUAUGAAACAUAUUUCUUCCAUUGCCAACUUCUGUUUUCUCAAAUCCUCCUUUCACAUUUACAACUUAGCUGAAAUUUUCUGUCUACAUUCUCUUUUCUUGCCUUUGAACACUUCUCCUCCUCUGCUCCCCUCCCCAAUAGAAUCCAGCCUUUGAAAUGCUGCCCUACAGUAAUUGUUAAGCUAAUUUUCUCCCAAUUUUCUUAUGGUUUACUAGAAAGCCUUUUUUGAGUGGUGACAAAAAUUCAUAAAGCACAUUAUGCUAAGAGACAUUUGCAUAACUUGGUAUCCAUCAAUAAUUCAAAUGUUGAUAUAAAGCUAAGCAUAGACUUACCACAUGACUUAACAUUUACGCUUCUAGGUAUUCAUCCAACGGAUUUGAAAAAUUAUGCUCACACAAAAGCCUGCACAUGAAUGUUCAUAGCAGUUCUAUUCAUAUUUACCAAAAGCUGUGAGGAAUCAAGAAGUCCUUCAAAAGGCGAAUGGAGAAACAAUUGUGGUACCUCCAUACCAUGGAAUACUAUUCAGCAAUAGAAGUACACUAUCAAGCCAUGUAAAGAUAUGAAUGAAUCGUAAAUGAGCAUUGCUAAGUGCAAGAAGUUAGUCUUAGAAAGCUACAUACCAUAUCAUUCCAUUUAUAUUACAUUCUGGAAUAGAAAAAAAAAAAACUGUAGAAGCCAAAUCAGUGAUAGGCAGAGUUUUGGGGAGGAAGACGGAUUCAUUAGGUAAAGCACAGGUGAUUUCUUUCAAGCCUAUAAACCAUUCUGUACAGGACUGUAGUGGUGGAUACAUGACAUUAUUAACUUGUCAAAUCCCAUAUAACUUUAUAGUGCAAAGAAUUUACUGUAAUGUAGGCACAAUUAAAAAAAAAAUCAACCAGAAGAUCAGGAAAUCCAGAAUGGGAUGCAGACUGUAACUAAAUAAUCUGAUCAUAUUAUAAAUGUAUGAAAUAACCUCACUUAAGAGGGUAGGGACAAAGAAAUGCUGAUUUAAUUAACUUCAGUCAUUGGGUACAGUGUACACGGCUCAGGUGACAGGUGCACCAACAUCUCAGAAAUAACCACUUAUCCAUGUAACAAAAAACAACCUGUUCCCCAAAAGCUAUCGAAAUUUUUAAAAAAUCAAAGAAAAAAGUUAUGUAUCUAAAAAAAUAACUUUGGAAUGACUUUAAGACUAAUGACAAACUAUUAAGCUAGGUAAUUAUUGUACUCUAGUUGAUAAAGUUAUUUCUUAACAGGUGUGUGACUUCACAAUUAUGAAAACUCUGUACAUGUCUACUAAAAUUAAACAAAUAAAUAAAUGGAUGGUGGAUGAUGGGAGCUAAGUUUUUUACUGUUGAAAUGGGGUUAACACAUGUUAAAUAAAAUAGGCAGAAAGCCAUUGGCCUGAGGCUGCCUCUGUACAUUGAGUUCCAAAUAACAAACUACAACCUAACUUAGGAGUAUACGUUUUGUAACAGAUACCCAGGUCUCAGCCAAUCACAAGAAGUCAAGCUUCGGCCAAUCACAGGCAGCCAACUGACCAGAGCACAUCCAAAUAAGGCAACUGCAACCAAUCAAGCUAUCUCUGUGCUUUACUUCUGUGUUCAGCCUAUAAAAGCUCAUUGCCAAAACUGCAGAGCAGUGCUCUCUGAAUUCUCUUCUGAAAACUCCCUGUUCCCCCAAAACUACUGAAAUUAAAAAAGAAAAGAAAAAAAUUAUUAUGUAUUGAUAUGUUUGGUUGUGUCCCCACCCAAAAUCUCAUCUUGAAUUGUAA